This 486-nucleotide unclassified non-coding RNA is filed under the name Trichuris trichiura (human whipworm). Its description in RNAcentral is "sequence contains ITS2". The record is from RNAcentral. Lineage: Eukaryota; Metazoa; Nematoda; Enoplea; Trichinellida; Trichuridae.
GUUAAGGAUAAUAGCGAAUGCGCCGCUCAGGCUACAGGUUGAGGUUGGUGGCGAGCACCGGACAAACCUGCAUCCGCGCGCGAGCGAGCGUGACGCCGCAGCUCCGUUGCCAGCGAGCCGCGAUGGCAACUGGUAGGCGGAGCAGCGGAGAGCGGCCAAGUCAGCGUAGGGCGAAGACUACCCGACUUGGCUACCGGCCGCGCCGUCGGCGUACAGCAGUUGAGCAGGGAGCGGUGACCGCACGCGCUCGUAGCAGCAAGUGUUCGUCGUCGUUGCACGGCAGCAGCGGCAGCAGCAGUCGACGACGACGACGACGACGAUGCCGUUCGCGUUGCUGCGGCGGCGGCGGGCACCGCUCGACCGACGACGGCGGCAAACGUUGCUGACACACUGCUACCGGUCAGGCGAGCUGCCGGUAGCGGCGUCUUUGCCGUUCGUCAACUAGCGGUUCGCCGCGUGGCUCCACCCGUACGUCUCCUCGAUGUU